UACGUAGGGGGCUAGCGUUGCUCGGAAUCACUGGGCGUAAAGGGUGCGUAGGCGGGGCUUUAAGUCAGAGGUGAAAUCCUGGAGCUCAACUCCAGAACUGCCUUUGAUACUGAGGAUCUUGAGUACGGGAGAGGUGAGCGGAACUGCGAGUGUAGAGGUGAAAUUCGUAGAUAUUCGCAAGAACACCAGUGGCGAAGGCGGCUCACUGGCCCGUUACUGACGCUGAGGCACGAAAGCGUGGGGAGCAAACAGG
This 253-nucleotide ribosomal RNA is filed under the name uncultured bacterium. Its description in RNAcentral is "partial 16S ribosomal RNA". It matches the Rfam family "Bacterial small subunit ribosomal RNA", at positions 524 to 776 of the family's 1533-position model. The record is from RNAcentral.